UAGGGAAUCUUCGGCAAUGGACGAAAGUCUGACCGAGCAACGCCGCGUGAGUGAAGAAGGUUUUCGGAUCGUAAAACUCUGUUGUUAGAGAAGAACAAGGACGUUAGUAACUGAACGUCCCCUGACGGUAUCUAACCAGAAAGCCACGGCUAACUACGUGCCAGCAGCCGCGGUAAUACGUAGGUGGCAAGCGUUGUCCGGAUUUAUUGGGCGUAAAGCGAGCGCAGGCGGUUUCUUAAGUCUGAUGUGAAAGCCCCCGGCUCAACCGGGGAGGGUCAUUGGAAACUGGGAGACUUGAGUGCAGAAGAGGAGAGUGGAAUUCCAUGUGUAGCGGUGAAAUGCGUAGAUAUAUGAAGGAACACCAGUAGCGAAGGCGGCUCUCUGGUCUGUAACUGACGCUGAGGCUCGAAAGCGUGGGGAGCAAACAGG
This 429-nucleotide ribosomal RNA is filed under the name Gemmatimonadota bacterium. RNAcentral's name for it is "Gemmatimonadetes bacterium partial 16S ribosomal RNA". It matches the Rfam family "Bacterial small subunit ribosomal RNA", at positions 355 to 776 of the family's 1533-position model. Lineage: Bacteria; Pseudomonadati; Gemmatimonadota. The record is from RNAcentral.